CAGACAAGAAGAAACACCAGGGAGGAGCCUUUUCAUGAAUCUGAGUUGGGAUCCUGGGAAAUCAGCCACAGCCACCUUACCUCUGGACACAUGGAUAUUUUAUUUCUUGAAGAGUGCUUCUAAAAGGGUGAAGAGACACCCUAAAUUCUCCUCCUUCAUCACCUUCCUGUUGAAAAAAAUUAGAUCCGAGCAAGCUGCUUUAUUUUCUCCAGUAAUAAUUUGUAGCAAUACUUAGAACUUUCAAAAUAUGCUUUUAAGGUGUCACUUUUGCUGCAGCCCCUUUUGAUUCACUCUCAGCUAUAUUUACUGGCUCCUUCAGUGCCCAAGAAAUGUUGCCUUCCCUGUUAAUUGUGUUAUUGAGUAUUACCCUGUACACUUACUGGCAUCUUAAGCAUAACAGCACUAUAUCAUACAGUCAGCUAGACUUAUUGUACUAAUGAAAAAUACACUGAAGUUGUGGUGUGCUUCAGAUCCUUUAGCAACAAGAGACAUUGCAUUCAGAACAUGAAAAUUAAUAUCCAUAUUAAUAUUGGCCGCAUACUUUUAUACCCCAUGUUGUUCAGGUGUUAAUACUUAAUAAUUAAUUUUAAUAAUGUAUUCUCUGCAUAUCCUAUUGAUGUGGGUUUUACAGUGCUGGUAAAUUUGAUAUUUGGACUCUGAUUACGUUUUGCAGUCAUUCUUAGUCUAAAGAGUUGGUUUGAAGAAUUCAAAUUUCUGUUUAUUUACUGCUCUUUUUGUAGAAAUUCACCCAUAGUACUUUUCAUUGUAGUGACAUCUAUUAUGUAGAGUUCUAAAGUACUAGUGCUAAGAUACAAUCUUUAUAAUACAUAAAUAUGAUUUUGCUAUGUCAUGGAACUGCAUAGAAACUUAUUUAAUAAAAUAAUCAGUUGAGUUCUAGCUACUGGAUUGAAAAGCUGGAUAUUAGUUAAAAGACAAUAAGCCAUAUAAAAAUAAUGCUUUGUUGGACAGGAACGACUAAUUGUACUGUAAGACAAAUAAAUUUAAAUGCAUUG
Long non-coding RNA from Passer domesticus (house sparrow), 1013 nucleotides. RefSeq lists it as uncharacterized. NCBI's taxonomy places the organism in Eukaryota, Metazoa, Chordata, Aves, Passeriformes, Passeridae. The transcript is spliced from 2 exons. The record is from RefSeq and is a predicted model, not a curated record.